RNAcentral lists this long non-coding RNA (1272 nucleotides) under Callithrix jacchus (white-tufted-ear marmoset). RNAcentral's name for it is "lncRNA (ENSCJAG00000071669.1)". The record is from RNAcentral. Lineage: Eukaryota; Metazoa; Chordata; Mammalia; Primates; Cebidae.
CAUUCUUGGGUCCCUCCAUCGGUGUGUCGGGCCUGUGCCAAGGACUUCACCUGCCCUUCCCAUUCAAUCUUCACCAAAAACCUAUGCGCUAGGUACUUUGAAUUACCACUUCGUAUAAAAGCGGGGCGCAGAGCCACUAAGCAAGCAGGGGUGGCGUGUGUCGGAGCCAGAAUCUAUUUUCGGCUCUCUGAUUUACCCACGGAAGGACCUCCCUCCCCACCCCCCACCCCGCCGGGAGCAGCCUAUCUUGGUGCAAAAUGCACCGAGCUACCGAGGCUGCCUUCCAGGACUCCGCGCGGAAGCUUAGGCUGCCUCGAUCCCCUUUCUGGUAACUCCCUCUCAGCUGAGACUCCGGGUCCCCUCCGCCCCCUUUUGCCCCUCUUCGCGGGGACCGGGCGGGCUCUCGGUCGGUGCCCCGGCCCCAGGAUCCCCGGCGCUGUGCUCUCCCCAAGAGGAGGUCGGGCCCAGGACGCGCUAGGUCCGCAGCGGGUGUGGAAGGACCCUGGGCUCGGCUCCCACGCUCGGGCCGGCCUCCCGCCCCGGGUCGGAGCUGCGGUCACUGGCGGCUUCGGGGCCGUGGCGUCCCGCGCUCAGCGUCCGCGCCUCUGGAAGGCAUUGAGUCGUUUCUUUCCCGUACUGGAGGGACAGUUUCCCAAAGCGGACGCGGGGCUGGCGGCGGGAGGGGGAAUAGGGCUGGCGGGGCUGAAGGCUUCACGGGGGCAACCAACGCGCGCGCCUCUCUCCUCUCUCUCCCCGUUCCCUCUCUCUUUCUCUCUCCCGCCACCCCUCGCCCUCCCCUCUCUGUCUCUCCCUCUCUCCCUUAGCUCUCUCUCUCUUCCCCAUUCUCUCGCUUUUCCCCCUUUCUCUGUCUCUCCGCUCUUUCCUUUCUCCCCGCCUCCCCUCGCAGUCUCUCGCUCUCUCCCCUCACCCCUCGCUUUCUCUCGCCUUUCCUCUCUCUCUCCCACCUCCCCUACACCGUCCCUCUCAACUCCCCUCUCUCCCCACCUCUUUCUCGCUCGGCCCCCUCUCCUUCCUCCUCCCUCCUCCCUCUCUCCUUCCUUCUUCCCAACUUCUCUUCCCCCCUCUCUCCCUCCCCGCCUCCUUCCCUCCUUCCUUCUUUCUCCCUCCUUCCUCCUCCCUCUCUCCUUCCUACUUCCCAACCUCCCUUCCCCCCUCUCUCCCUCCCCGCCUCCUUCCUUCCUUCCUUCUUCCUCCUUCCUUCCUUCCUUCCCUCCUCCGCUCCCUCCUUCCCUCCUCGCCCCCUCCUCUUAA